GAUGAACGCUGGCGGCGUGCCUAAUACAUGCAAGUCGAGCGAACGGACGAGAAGCUUGCUUCUCUGAUGUUAGCGGCGGACGGGUGAGUAACACGUGGAUAACCUACCUAUAAGACUGGGAUAACUUCGGGAAACCGGAGCUAAUACCGGAUGAUAUUUUGAACCGCAUGGUUCAAAAGUGAAAGACGGUCUUGCUGUCACUUAUAGAUGGAUCCGCGCUGCAUUAGCUAGUUGGUAAGGUAACGGCUUACCAAGGCAACGAUGCAUAGCCGACCUGAGAGGGUGAUCGGCCACACUGGAACUGAGACACGGUCCAGACUCCUACGGGAGGCAGCAGUAGGGAAUCUUCCGCAAUGGGCGAAAGCCUGACGGAGCAACGCCGCGUGAGUGAUGAAGGUCUUCGGAUCGUAAAACUCUGUUAUUAGGGAAGAACAUAUGUGUAAGUAACUGUGCACAUCUUGACGGUACCUAAUCAGAAAGCCACGGCGAACUACG
Molecule: ribosomal RNA, 495 nt
Filed under: uncultured bacterium
Lineage: Bacteria
Description: partial 16S ribosomal RNA
Rfam family: Bacterial small subunit ribosomal RNA
Source: RNAcentral